Molecule: RNA transcript, 3859 nt
Organism: Zea mays
Lineage: Eukaryota; Viridiplantae; Streptophyta; Magnoliopsida; Poales; Poaceae
Exons: 8
Source: RefSeq, a predicted model, not a curated record
CUGAGUGAUGAUGAAGGUGCAUCUGGUGAAUUGGAAAAGUGUAAAUUGGAAAGUCUUGCAGGUUUCUUUGGUGAAUGAUGGCCCUGAGACGAUGCAAAUCGACUCACCCUCACCGCAAGAUGCUGCUCGGUCAUGGUACAUUGAAAUAUGGAGUGCACUGUACUGUAGGUAAAUUGGUUCCAAAUCUGUGCUCCCAGACAGUGAUGACUCGUUGCAUCCAAUGUACAAGGUGUGUCAGGCUUUCUACUAAGGCUGUUGGAGUUCAAGAUUAUUAUGGCUUGCUAAAAAGUAUAUUACUGUGGUAUGAUGGCCUCUGUCUGGUUUAGUAAUCUUUAUGUCAACUUCUGCAACAUAAAAAUCGGGCCCAAGAAGUUGCUGAACAGGCAACACAUGCUCCUUUGAUUGGGUCAUCCAUCGAGGCAGCUACUGGCGUUGUGUAUAAUAUUACUCUGGUGGGAAGGACAUCACUUUGCAAGAAGUGAACAAGGUGUCCCAGAUUGUGACAAGCCUAGCUGACCCAUAUGUGAACAUAAUUUUUGGUGCCGUCGUUGAUGACCGUUACACUGGUGAGAUACAUGUGACAAUCAUUGCGAUAGGAUUUCCACAGUCCUUCCAGAAAUCCCUUUUGGUGGAUCCAAAGGGAGCACGUAUAGUGGAAUCCAAAGAGAAAGCAGCAACCCUCGCCCAUAAAGCAGCAGCUGCUGCAGAUCAAUCGGUCCUUGCUUCUGCUUGGUCUCGAAGACUCUUCUAUUAUCUAUUAUUCAUGGGUUUGUUGUUCACAUGAAUCACAUAUAGCUAUGACCUUUGCUGCAUUUAGGUUGGUGCUAUGCUCCAAGAAUUAGAAAAGGAGAUUGAUGAUGUGGAUGCACAAAUUGGAAAUCUUUGACAACUGCUUGAUAAGUAAGUCACUCCUAUGUAUGGAUUUUUUUAUGUCGUGUGCUUCUCAGCCAGUGCAUUUUGUUGCCGAGUUCUAUCUGAUAGGGAAACUUGAUGCUAUUUUAUGUUAAUUUAAAAUCGGUAGUAGCUCUGUUGCCCUGUCAAAACACAGUUCUGUGUCACGACCAAUUUAGUUUUAAUGUACUCUUAUUUUUUAGUGGCUGUUUUAUGUCCAUCAUUUGUAUUGGACUUUGUUUUCCUUGUGAUAUAUCAGCCGAGACACUUUUUUGAGUGUAUUUAUAAAAAUCACAAAAAGUCAUGUGUUUCUGUGAUCUACUACCUCACCAUAUUUAGAGGAUCAUUUUAUGAAAUGCACUAUUUCAUAAACUCGUCAUCCUUGUGGAGUCACUGCAAAAGCAUGGUUGCAAAUUCCUAUUAUUCUAAGGCCUGUUUGUUUCUAUGACCGGCCAACAUGCGACCGCGAUUAAGCGAUCACGGCUCUGAGGCUGUGUUUUGGAAAUCACCCAGUCAUGUUCAUUUUCUGAUGUAGACACGUUCGUAAUCGACUGUUUGGCAGGAAUAUUUUGCAUUUUCCGCUGAAAUGUUUCUUACAGUGUUUAUAUCUGCCUGCGCAAUUGCACCUAGCAGUUGAGGAGUGCCUCUUUGGCUCUUUUCGUGUAAGCAUUAACGUUUACUACCUACAUUCUUCAUGUGUUUUCUUGGCUUACUCGAUCGCGAAGUAUUAAUCUCUAUUUCUGACAGAUGGCUUGGCAAGAUUAUACUAGAGACUUGUAUUUCUCAGAUCCAUAUUUGGCUUAGGUCUAGCAUGCCAAAUGGACAGCCAAAAUGGCUUCUUUGUUUCAUACCAGAUUAUCCUAUGCUUAUCUUCAUGCUUACUAUAGCGAUCUAUCUUCUUGCGUGGAAGGAGUCGAACUGGGGAACAGGAGAGAAGGACCCCGCUAGCCCCAUCCUUGGUGGGAGGAAGAAGCUAGCGCCACCAUUGCAGCAGCAGGAGGUGGUGGAUCCAAGCCUACGCGACGGGUUCAGAGCGAAGGCGCUCCUCGGUAGACAAGACACCAGCAUCACUGAUACCUGCUCCCUGUCUUGACGGUAACAGCCAUGUCCAGCCACUUUCUUGUCAAAUGCAUCCAUUUCUUUUGCUUUAGCAAUUGGCAUGGGCCCUUCUCAAUUUUUGAUGGAGCAGUUGGCGUUUGGGAAUAGCACCAAUGAUUAUUAUCUUUCCUAGAGCAAAUUGGCAGUUGAUAGCCAUGAGAUUUCAGCGUUACUAAGACAUUAAUUAGUGUAAUCUAGAUGGAAACUUUCCUUGCAUUAUUUUUCAGCUGUAACUUACCACAAGAUUAAGUGGUUUUGGGAUUAUUUAUUUCUCAAGACCAGUUUAUUAAUUAGUUUCAUUAUAUUCUUAUCAACAUGCUCUCUCUCAUGAGACAUUGAUUAGUGUAUUAUGUAUUCUGGAUGAUGUGUGUUGUGCCAUACCAUGUAUUUGUUCUGAAGAACAGUUAAUUCAUUAGCUAUUUGGGCUAUUAUUUCUAGAAUAUGGUUGCUUAGAUCUUCCAACUUAUAGUGUGUUUGUAGCUUCUGUAGAAAUAUAUCCAAUGUGUGUUCACAUAUUUUUAGAGAUUUGGACACCUUACAAAGGGUAAGGAUUACGAGGAUCCACCAGACUCUGCAUCGGCGUGCCCACGGGCCAGAUGGCCAUCGAGGAGACACUACUGAUGGAGGCGCCAUCUUUGGUAGCUGAGGACAAAUUAGAGUUUGUCUUCCGGUGAAGUUUAUACCUUUUCCAAAUUUACUGCAUCACAGUUUAUUGCUUUUCAACAUGUGAGAUUGUGAUUGCAGUGUUAAACUAUUCAUAUUCUGCUUGCUUUUUGCAUAUUGCAUCACCGUCCUUUUUUUGGAGUGAUUGCAUUCUAUGGAUAUUUAGGAUCAUCAUGAUCUCAUAUUUGGAGAGUUCUAAUUUCAUAUUUGAGUAGGAAUUUUGGAUCGAGAAUAACAAGGGAGGUUUAUGGAGAGAGUAUCGAACACAGAGAGAGAUGAUCGGAGGUACUGGAGCCACCUAUCCACAAGGUACUUUGUUUUGGUUUUCAUUUUCCCGUAGUAAAUGUACUCAUUAGAAGGAGCGAGAUGGUCUAACUAAAAACAGUUAUUUGAGUAGGAAUUUUCUUAUGUUCUUCAACAAGACAAUAAUCUGAUCUUAUACUCGUUAUUCUUUUUCGGUGAACAUUUAAUGUAUUUCUUUUGUUAAUGAAUUGGUUGUUGGUACAUAACUAAAGUGCCAUGUUUAUAUUUUAGAUUUCACGUUGUUGCCUAUCUUAAGCCGAUUUGGUGACUAGAGGUAGGUUGGAGAUUGAUUUCUGCUUUCCUGCUGGUUCAUACAACCUAUUCUUCUGACUCCAUUUGGGUCGAUCGCAUAAGCUGAUGGGCCACAAAGGAUGUUGUUUUGAGAAUAUCCAUGGUUGGGACAUCAAAUGGACACAGUUGGGACAUCAAGUUUAGACGAGACUUUUGGUUUCACAAUGGCUACAAUGAAUGGAUCAGAAAGUGUAUUUGCAACGUGCAAGGGUGACAAGAAUAUGAACACUCUAAUGCACCACCCUUUUAGUAACUGGGCUGAUACAGUGAGUCGCUAUUUCGCAAGAUCGUCGUGGCCCUAUCAGGAACGGAGAUGCUCUUAGCGAAGCAGGAGGACAUGGUAGACGUGAACCUGAAGCUAAAGCUGACUUCCAGCCAAUCCAACAAGCAGCAGCAGGCGGGGAGUGGAUGCGCCUGCUAGAAGAGUGCUAGCUCUGCAUAUACGCUCGCUCGACAAACGUGUGUUGUUAACUAUUGUAUAUAGUGUUAUAAUCACUGUCCUUUAUUCCUGAUGUUUGUUUUGUAGUUGAAACUCACAUUGUUUUCUCGUUUCCAUCUCGAUUUUGUAUGCCGUGACCAUGAAAGAACAAAUGUUUUCCUAUGGUUUCUAAAA